Pan troglodytes (chimpanzee) is the source of this 1050-nucleotide long non-coding RNA. RefSeq lists it as uncharacterized. The record is from RefSeq and is a predicted model, not a curated record. The transcript is spliced from 2 exons. Lineage: Eukaryota; Metazoa; Chordata; Mammalia; Primates; Hominidae.
GCAGAGGGUCUGGACGGUUUCCCGCAUCCCGGGGAAAUACGGGCGUCCGAGCCGGUGGCCGAGCUCCGGCAAGGGCGGGAACCUUCAGGAUUAAAUAGACAGGGUCUGGCUCUGUCGCCCAGGCUGGACUGCAGUGGCGCGAUUUCGGCUCACUGCAACUUCUGUCUCCCGGGUUCAAGCAAUUCUCCAGCUUCAGCCUCCCAAGUAUCUAGGACUACAGGCGGACUCUCGCUCUGUCGCCAGGCUUUCUUAGCCUCCUGAGUAGCUUGGACUACAAGCGCGCGCCACCAUGCCCGGCUACUUUCGGUAUUUUAGUAGAGAUGGGGUUUCACCAUGUUGGUCAGGCUGGUCUGGAACUCCUGACCUCGUGAUCCGCCUGCCCCGGCCUCCCAAAGUGCUGGGAUUACAGGCGUGAGCCGCUGCGCCCAGUUGGAAAAAGUUUUGUUUUUUUUAAAAAACUAAGUGCUUCCAUGUACAUCAGAUGUUAACGACCUUGAUCCUAACAAACAAACAAAAAAGAUGAGGAAAUUGAGGCUCAAAGAUGUGUCCUGGCCUGGCUCAGUGGCGUAUGCCUGUAAUCCCAGCAUUUUGGGAGGCUGAGGGGGGAAGAUCACUUGAAGCCAAGAAUUGGAGACCCCAAUCUCUACAAAAAAUAAAAAAUUAGCUGGGUGUGGUGGUGCACACCUGUAGUCCCAGUGAGAGGUGAAGCUAGUUGGACUUCCUGGGUCCAGUGGGGACUUGGACAACUUUUCUGUCUUACAAGAGGUUUGUAAAAAUGCACCAAUCAGUGCUCUGUAGCUAGCAAGAGGUUUGUAAAGUGCACCAAUCAGUGCUCUGUAAAAUGGACCAAUCAGCAGGAUUCUAAAAGCAGCCAAUCGCAGGGAGGAUGGAAAAAGGGGCGUUCUGAUACGACAGAAACGGACAUGGGAGGGGACAAAUAAGAGACUAAAAGCUCCCACCCCAGUCAGCGGAGGCAACCGGCUGGAGUGCUCUGCCAUGCUGUGGAAGGUUUGUUCUUUCGCUCUUCACAAUAAAUCUUGCUGCUACUCA